This 72-nucleotide transfer RNA is filed under the name Candidatus Latescibacterota bacterium. RNAcentral describes it as "tRNA-Thr". It matches the Rfam family "tRNA". Rfam says of the family: Transfer RNA (tRNA) molecules are approximately 80 nucleotides in length. Their secondary structure includes four short double-helical elements and three loops (D, anti-codon, and T loops). Lineage: Bacteria; Pseudomonadati; Candidatus Latescibacterota. The record is from RNAcentral.
GCUGCUGUAGCUUAACGGUAAAGCGUUCGCUUGGUAAGCGGAAGGAUAUGGGUUCGACUCCCAUCGGUAGCU